UCUUUAUAUCCUCUCUGAUUAUAAGGAUUAAUUGUAUGUAUCUUUUCCUUUAUUUCCUGCAGUCAUGUUGCCUUGAAGAGUGUUAUAUGGAUUAGCAAAACAGCAGUGUCAGAGGAAUUGUGCUUUGUUGGGAAUCCAGAGGAAAAAAAUACGCUAAACUAACAUCAGGAGUCUGAUUAAACUUGGAAGAUGCAGAGACAUGUUCCCUUCUUCUGUCUUGAGGUUGAUUGAGAGGAAAGUGGAAAACACUGUGUGCAUACAUGUACUGAAGUGCACAAGUGUCCACAAAACCACACCCAGCAAAAGCUUCUAUAGCUUUCUAUCUGUGGCAUCAUCUCUCCUAGAUGUGCCAACAUAGCAUGAAAUUAUCUUUCACAAAUAGAGCAACUGGUUACUGUGAGAAGUUUGGUGAAAGCAGGGUGAGACAAACAGCAGAGAAGAAAGGGAAGUUUCAGGAAGGUCAGGAAGAGCAUUCAAAGAACACAAAAUUCCACACUGUCAUUGAAGACUGGAGAGUCAGCAAGACCCUCUUUUUGUUAGCUUGUCCAGGCACCCACCCUUCUGCCCAUGGCUCCUGAGCACAGUAGGAUUGGACAUGCUCCUCUUCCCAUACAUACAUACCUACCUACUACUGGUGUAGCCAGUGUCUGGAGUAUCUACAUUCAAAUACAAAUAUUUUGGCUUUGUAUGUCUUACUUGCUAGUGCUUGCUAAAAAAUGUAUAUCUUUAAAGAACGUGGUCCAUCACUUGCUCCUAUUGAUCAUCUGUAGGCAAAUAAGGGUUUUUUUUUUGUAGACAUGUGAAAUUAAAAAUAAUAAGAUUCACAGCAUUGCAUUGUACCUGAUGCCAGAUAAUUUCAUUGUAGGAGUUAUAUGGUUAUAUUAGUAUUGAUGGUUAUAUUAGUACUGACAAUUCAGUGCUAUUAGAUCCACUUGCACAAAGAGCCAUUAGUACUAAGAAGUAAUAAUUAAAGUACUCAACACCUGAUUUUUUUUUAUUAGGAGAGGAGAAAGAAAAUGUAUAAUUACUGUAGAUGUUAAGAGGUUAAUACUUGUAGUAGGGCAGCUUUGCACAGUUUUCUGAAAAGAGAGGGAAAAUUUUCCCUGGAGGGAACAGGAAAACUGUCUAAUAAUUAAAUUAUUUAAAUUUUCUGAUGAUUGUGCAUAGUUAGUGAAGUUAAAUCAGUAAGAAUUUUCCUUCUAUUCACAUGAAAUAAAGCUCAUAAUAUAAUAAGUGUGUGACA
Molecule: long non-coding RNA, 1243 nt
Filed under: Cyanistes caeruleus (blue tit)
Lineage: Eukaryota; Metazoa; Chordata; Aves; Passeriformes; Paridae
Description: lncRNA (ENSCCEG00000021673.1)
Source: RNAcentral